UAAAUUAAAUCAUACCUGCUAUACACUUUCCAAAAUGAUUAUUCUUUUGAAGAUCCUCCAUCAAUGAAUCUAGUUUGAUCUUGAACACUCUUGCGACGAUAUCUGGUCUUUCAUUAGGUCUCUGUCCGCCAUUAUUUCUGAGAAAUUCAAGAAUUUCAUUCCACUUUGGAUUUGAUGUUACCGUGAUGAAAAGAUCAGGGUUUCCCAUAACACGGCAAAGAGCUAUUGCAUCUUGGUAAUUUUGGGUCAUAUAACGUGGUCCGCCAGUGAAAGAGGAAGGUCAUAAGAUCCACAAUGUAAGUUUGUAAUAGUUUCCCCGAUAAGGGUAAUGUAUGUGCCUCAGUCUGACGCUGCUGCAAACGAAAUGAAGCGUACUCUAUGGACUGGUCUCAAAGAACCAAUUCUGUGAUGGUUUUGUCCAUUUAGACGGAAACAAUAAGGCCCACCUCCAUUAUUAUUCCAGAGAAAGGUGGGAGGAUGCGUGAGGAGAGGAAAUUUGACAGAGCCUUUUCGACAGCAUAAUGAGAAAGCUGGAUUUUCAGACCUAGAAGUACACAACAAAUAGCAAUGUUAUACAACAAAUGACAAUAUCAAUGUCAACAGCAUAUGAGGCAAGGAAACAGGUACAAUUAUUUGACAUGAAAAUAAUGUUGUACAUUAUCUUCCAUUUGCACGUGAGAAUCGUCGAAUGAUGAAUCAUAUGAUAUUUGUUCCAUCCUUGUACGCUUGAUAAUAACCGGGGAUGUAUCCUCAAAGGAAGUAGUGCUACAUGUACCAUUAACUCUAUGAACAACUUUCCUCUUAACUCGUCUCUCUUUGUUAUUAUAGGAUCGAAGAGCUGAAAACAGAUGAUGGGUAGUUAGUGUUAAGGAAUAGAAGUUUGUCAAAGUCGUAGUGCCUCAACAAAGUGGGAGUACUUUCUCACUUUGAUUGGUGAAGUCAAUGAUCUGUGAUUCCAACGAAUUCAACUCUGUAGGUAAUAAUUUUAAUAAUUUAAGGUUAUUACAGUAGAUUUCUAUUAACUAUUAAAUUGGGCAUAUGUUUAUAUAAAGACUGUUACCUGUUAUUCUGUCAAUGAGCUUCGGAGAUGAAUGUGAUGUGAAAGAACUAACAUCCAUUGAGCUGCUACUUAUAUUCUCCAUAUAUGCUCUGAAAGAGAUUUCUCCGAAAGUACGAAUUGAAAUAUUCUCCGAAAGAGAUUUUCUGGUAAAUGGUAGCAUACAUUCCAUAUAUGCUCAGAAAGAUGUGUGGUAAGUUACCUUGUUCACUUGCAUAUAUAUACUUAUAUUCUCCAUUUAUGCUCCAAAAGAUGUGCAGUAUACAUUCCACAUAUGCUCAAAAAGUUGUGUUAAAUUGGUGGAUAGAUACCACAAAUAGAAAUAAUAAGAUAUAGAAAACUGAAAAUAUUUUCAGUUUAUAACUAACUUACUUUGAAUCAUGAUACUCUAUAAAUUGUGUACAUGUUAUAUCAGAGUCAAAUUAAUAUUCAAUAAGUUAAUAUGCUAGAAAUAUAUAUACAUGAAUUAAGGAACAAAGAUCUCCAAUAAUGUAAAGACAAAUAUACUGAAAGGAGCAUAGUAUACUUACAGUAUGACUUCAGAGUUGAUUCCAUAAGCGUUUUCCACUUCUAUAAUUGAAACCAAAAAAUGCAUAAUUUAGGUCCAGUACUUGAAAUAAAAUUUAAGCAUGCAACUAAGAGGAAAAUAUACAUUGCUUGAGAAGCUAGUUAAACUAAUGUAUGAUCUUUAUUUGGGUAAAUGGUAAGAAAUAUGAAAUAAAUAUGAUGAAUUAAUGUUGUGAUGAAGUGGGUCAUCAUAAAUGCUUUAAAAAGUGAGUUUGAUAUGAAAAAUGUGAUGUAUAUAGGCAGAAAUGAGUCAUAAAUCAUAAAUGUGGGAAAUACUGACUUAAUC
Long non-coding RNA from Asparagus officinalis (garden asparagus), 1910 nucleotides. RefSeq lists it as uncharacterized. The transcript has 6 exons. The record is from RefSeq and is a predicted model, not a curated record. NCBI's taxonomy places the organism in Eukaryota, Viridiplantae, Streptophyta, Magnoliopsida, Asparagales, Asparagaceae.